GACGAACGCUGGCGGCGUGCUUAACACAUGCAAGUCGAACGGAAAGGCCCCUUUGGGGGUACUCGAGUGGCGAACGGGUGAGUAACACGUGAGUAACCUGCCCUUGACUUCGGGAUAAAUUCAGGAAACUGGGGCGAAUACCGGGUAGGAAUCCUUGCUGCAUGGGGGGGGUUGGAAAGCUUCGGCGGUUUUGGAUGGACUCGCGGCGUAUCGGCUUGGUGGUGGGGUAGUGGCGUACCAAGGCAUUGACGGGCAGCCGGCCUGAGAGGGUGACCGGCCACAUUGGGACUGAGAUACGCCCCAGACUCCUACGGGGGGCAGUGGUGGGGAAUCUUGCACAAUGGGCGGCAGCCUGAUGCAGCAACGCCCCGUGCGGGAUUACGGCCUUCGGGUUGUAAACCGCGUUCAGCAGGGGCGAAGCUUGUGGUGACGGUACCGGCAGAAGAAGCACCGGCUAACUACGUG
RNAcentral lists this ribosomal RNA (465 nucleotides) under uncultured bacterium. RNAcentral's name for it is "partial 16S ribosomal RNA". It matches the Rfam family "Bacterial small subunit ribosomal RNA", at positions 28 to 507 of the family's 1533-position model. The record is from RNAcentral.